CCCUUAGAUGUCCUGGGCCGCACGCGUGCUACACUGAUGCAUACAGCGAGUACUCCCAGCUCCGAGAGGCUGCUGGUAAUCAGCAAUAUGCAUCGUGAUGGGGAUAGAUCUUUGGAAUUAUAGAUCUUGAACGAGGAAUUCCUAGUAAUCGCAGGUCAUCACCCUGCGUUGACUAAGUCCCUGCCCUUUGUACACACCGCCCGCCGCUCCUACCGAUUUCGAGUGAUCCGGUGAAUCAUUCGGACCGCGGCCCCUAGGCAUGCGGAAAGUCUAGUAAACCAUAUCACUUAGAGGAAGGAGAAGUCGUAACA
Molecule: ribosomal RNA, 311 nt
Filed under: uncultured eukaryote
Lineage: Eukaryota
Description: partial 18S ribosomal RNA
Rfam family: Eukaryotic small subunit ribosomal RNA
Source: RNAcentral